Paramuricea clavata is the source of this 229-nucleotide non-coding RNA. The record is from the annotation of a GenBank genome assembly. NCBI's taxonomy places the organism in Eukaryota, Metazoa, Cnidaria, Anthozoa, Malacalcyonacea, Plexauridae.
CAUCUCUGCCCGAGUGCAGGUUAUAUUCAAGAUGGCGAGCUUUCUGAGGGGUCAGUUAUCUUGUUUGUGCCGUAUUAAAACAGUCCAUAUGAACUCUUAUCCAGCAAUUUGUAGAUAUUCUGAUAACAUUAUCGAUAGACCUGACAUGGGCCCACCAAUACCGCCAUACCAGAGACGACAAGGCGAAACAAUUGAUGUGAAGAAAGCAAGAUUACUCUACCAAAGCAGG